Molecule: ribosomal RNA, 462 nt
Filed under: uncultured bacterium
Lineage: Bacteria
Description: partial 16S ribosomal RNA
Rfam family: Bacterial small subunit ribosomal RNA
Source: RNAcentral
GACGAACGCUGGCGGCGUGCUUAACACAUGCAAGUCGAACGGAGAACCUCGUCGGAGGGGAUCAGUGGCGAACGGGUGAGUAACACGUGGACAACCUGCUCCCGGCUCUGUGAUAACUCCAAGAAAUCGGGGCUAAUACCGGAUGAUCACCGCUUCCCGCAUGCGUGGUGGUUGAAUGGUUUGCCGGCUGAGUUUGGGCCCGCGGCCUAGCAGCUGGGUGGUGGGGAAGUGGAGUACCAGGGCGACGACGACAAGCCGGCCUGGGACGGUGACCGGGCACAGUGGGCCUGAGACACGGCCCGGAGGCCAACGGGAGGCAGGAGCGGGAAAUUGUGCGAAAAGGGCGGAGGCCGGGAGCAGCGACGCCGCGUGGGGGAUGACGGCUUUCGGGUUGUAAACCUCUUUCAGCAGGGACGAAGCGCAAGGGACGGUACCUGCAGAAGAAGCACCGGCCAACUACGU